RNAcentral lists this ribosomal RNA (427 nucleotides) under uncultured bacterium. Its description in RNAcentral is "bacterial SSU rRNA". It matches the Rfam family "Bacterial small subunit ribosomal RNA", at positions 355 to 774 of the family's 1533-position model. The record is from RNAcentral.
UGGGGAAUUUUGGACAAUGGGCGCAAGCCUGAUCCAGCAAUGCCGCGUGCAGGAUGAAGGCCUUCGGGUUGUAAACUGCUUUUGUACGGAACGAAACGGCUCUGGUUAAUACCUGGGGCUAAUGACGGUACCGUAAGAAUAAGCACCGGCUAACUACGUGCCAGCAGCCGCGGUAAUACGUAGGGUGCGGGCGUUAAUCGGAAUUACUGGGCGUAAAGCGUGCGCAGGCGGUGAUGUAAGACAGAUGUGAAAUCCCCGGGCUCAACCUGGGACCUGCAUUUGUGACUGCAUCGCUGGAGUGCGGCAGAGGGGGAUGGAAUUCCGCGUGUAGCAGUGAAAUGCGUAGAUAUGCGGAGGAACACCGAUGGCGAAGGCAGCCUCCUGGGCCAGUACUGACGCUCAUGCACGAAAGCGUGGGGAGCAAACA